RNAcentral lists this ribosomal RNA (201 nucleotides) under uncultured bacterium. RNAcentral's name for it is "partial 16S ribosomal RNA". It matches the Rfam family "Bacterial small subunit ribosomal RNA", at positions 1292 to 1500 of the family's 1533-position model. The record is from RNAcentral.
UUCGGACUGGAGUCUGCAACCCGACUCCACGAAGUUGGAUUCGCUAGUAAUCGCGCAUCAGCCAUGGCGCGGUGAAUACGUUCCCAGGCCUUGUACACACCGCCCGUCAAGCCAUGGGAGCCGGGGGCGCCUGAAGUCCGGGACCGCGAGGACCGGCCUAGGGCGAAACUGGUAACUGGGGCUAAGUCGUAACAAGGUACC